GUGGCCUAACACAUGCAAGUCGUGCGGGAAAGUGGGGGCAACUCCAUGAGUAGAGCGGCGCACGGGUGAGUAACACGUAGGUAACCUGCCUUCGGGACUGGGAUAACCUGUCGAAAGACGGGCUAAUACCAGAUAAGACCACGGGAGCUUUGGCUCCAAGGGUAAAAGGUGGCCUCUGCUUGCACGCUACCACUCGAAGAUGGGCCUGCGCGCCAUUAGCUUGUUGGUGAGGUAACGGCUCACCAAGGCAAAGAUGGCUAGCUGGUCUGAGAGGAUGGCCAGCCACACUGGGACUGAGACACGGCCCAGACUCCUACGGGAGGCAGCAGUGGGGAAUAUUGCGCAAUGGGCGAAAGCCUGACGCAGCGACGCCGCGUGGGUGAUGAAGGCCUUCGGGUCGUAAAGCCCUGUCGGGAGGGACGAAACCUCGGCGACCUAAUACGUCGUCGACCUGACGGUACCUCCAAAGGAAGCACCGGCUAACUCCGUGCCAGCAGCCGCGGUAA
RNAcentral lists this ribosomal RNA (506 nucleotides) under uncultured delta proteobacterium. Its description in RNAcentral is "bacterial SSU rRNA". It matches the Rfam family "Bacterial small subunit ribosomal RNA", at positions 44 to 523 of the family's 1533-position model. Lineage: Bacteria; Deltaproteobacteria. The record is from RNAcentral.